GCUCCAUGCUCCAGUGCUCUGGGAGAGUUUAUAGUCCUGACACUUGAACACUGGAUGACUGACAGCUGUCCUUCAUCACAACACAACACACACAAAUCCUCCUCCUUAUCACAAACAUGACUCUGAUCUGCGUCCUCAUCUGGACUCUCCUCUGCUGCUGCUUCACAGAGUCCAGAGGACAGGUCACAGUGACUCAGCCUGCAGCAGUGAGCUCUGCACAGGGAGUCUCUGUCACCAUCCCAUGCAGAGUCAGUCAGACUGUUGAAAGCUGUAGCAAUCGUCACUGUUUCGCCUGGUACCAAGAGAAGGAUGGAGGAAUUGCUAAGCUCCUCAUCCAGUUUGUUAGCAGUCGAGCAACAGAAACUCCAGAUCGUUUUUCAGGCAGUGGAUCAAACUCUGACUUCACACUGACCAUCAGUGGAGUCCAGGCUGAAGAUGCAGCAGUUUACUACUGUAUGAGUCGUCAUGUUAUCAACAGUCAGUGUGUGUACACACAGUGA
Non-coding RNA from Cheilinus undulatus (humphead wrasse), 500 nucleotides. The record is from the annotation of a RefSeq genome assembly. Lineage: Eukaryota; Metazoa; Chordata; Actinopteri; Labriformes; Labridae.